RNAcentral lists this ribosomal RNA (502 nucleotides) under uncultured bacterium. RNAcentral describes it as "partial 16S ribosomal RNA". It matches the Rfam family "Bacterial small subunit ribosomal RNA", at positions 899 to 1397 of the family's 1533-position model. The record is from RNAcentral.
ACUCAAAUGAAUUGACGGGGACCCGCACAAGCGGUGGAACAUGUGGUUUAAUUCGAGGCAACGCGAAGAACCUUACCAGGAUUUGACAUGCCCUCUAUGAACGGCUGAAAGGCUGUUCUUCACUUCGGGUGGGAGGUGCACAGGUGCUGCAUGGCUGUCGUCAGCUCGUGUCGUGAGAUGUUGGGUUAAGUCCCGCAACGAGCGCAACCCUCGUCUUCUGUUGCUAACAGGUUAAGCUGAGCACUCUGAAGAAACUGCCGGUGAUAAGCCGGAGGAAGGUGGGGAUGACGUCAAGUCCUCAUGGCCCUUACAUCCUGGGCUACACACGUGUUACAAUGGUGGUGACAAUGGGUCGCGAUCCCGCAAGGGCUAGCCAAUCCCCAAAAGCCACCUCAGUUCGGAUCGUACUCUGCAACUCGAGUACGUGAAGCUGGAAUCGCUAGUAAUCGUGGAUCAGCACGCCACGGUGAAUACGUUCCCGGGUCUUGUACACACCGCCCGU